Molecule: ribosomal RNA, 322 nt
Filed under: uncultured eukaryote
Lineage: Eukaryota
Description: partial 18S ribosomal RNA
Rfam family: Eukaryotic small subunit ribosomal RNA
Source: RNAcentral
CCCUUAGAUGUUCUGGGCCGCACGCGCGCUACACUGACUGACUCAACGAGUUUACAACCUGUGCCGAAAGGUAUGGGUAAUCUUUUGAAAUUCAGUCGUGAUGGGGCUAGAUUAUUGCAACUAUUAAUCUUCAACGAGGAAUGCCUAGUAAGCGCGAAUCAUCAGUUCGCGUUGAUUACGUCCCUGCCCUUUGUACACACCGCCCGUCGCUCCUACCGAUUGAAUGGUCCGGUGAAAUCUCGGGACGGCGGCUUGGUCGCUUGCGUCCGACUGCUGAAACUUGAUUAAACCAUAUCAUUUAGAGGAAGGUGAAGUCGUAACA